GCUAAGGCCAGUAGUACACAGGGUCAAAUAUUUAACAAGGAAAGAACUCAAGAAACAACAUCAGUUUGACACUAAUGAAAAUUUGAUCGAGUCAAACAAGAUGUUUGAGCAUUGGUUUCUUUUCGGACAAAUAUUUGACCCUGUGUACUAGCAGCUUAAGGCCAGUAGUACACAGGGUCAAAUAUUUGACAAGGAAAGAACUCAAGAAACAACAUCAGUUUGACACUAAUGAAAAUUCGAUCGAGUCAAACAAGAUGUUUGAGCAUUGGUUUCUUUUUGGACAAAUAUUUGACCCUGUGUACUAGCAGCUUAAGAAUGAAGUAAAAUACUAUAAGAGCCGAUGCACACGAGCGUUAACUGACGCUGCGUGAAUUCACGCAGCGUCGCCGCAGCGUUCCUGUGGGGCAUGCGUUGACAUUGCGUGCCGCACACGGUGCGGCGCGGUUGCGGUGCGGUAGCGUUGCGUUCUCGUGUGCAUCCUCCCAUUUGAUUGUGUGUAACUCAGGACGCACUUGCGUGCACGCUGCGUGGACGCGCCGCCCGUGUGCAUCGGCCGACAGUCAGAGCCGCAUUUAUCCGUUGCUAACCGUCGUUAACCGUGUUUAACUGCUGCUCAGUUAGCGACGGUGAGGAACGGAAAAAUGCGGAUUCCCCGGUUAGGAAAGGAUAUGUCAUUCCCCUUGGGAUAGUCGACUUAAUAGUAUAACAAUUAUAACAUUGAAUUGAAAAAUGGUCCCAUAAACUCUUAAAUAUGUAUUCAAUGGAUGAUUUCAAAAAUACUACAUCGUUUAUCACAGAAGGAUUUCAACAAAGUUACUGAAAAUGUACCAUGCAUUCAUUCAACAAAUAAAAAAUCACGAAUUUCGCAUUAAGAAUAAUUGACUGUGACCAACGGACAUUUCAAAACAUUUAUACUGGUUUACUAGUCGUCUAAUUACACGAAAAAAAUAUUAAGGAGACCUCAAGGAUGAAAUUUGCCACUUUUUGAAUGUGCGAUUUGCACUAAGUUGCUCUUCCGUUCCGUGGUUGGUGCCUUACUUUCACUCUCUUUAAUCUCUCAUCCUCUUUCUCUCUGGAUUCCCUUAUUGAACCGUAUUGAUCUUAGCGCAACUCCAAGCACCUCCCAUUAGAAUAACAAUAAUGAAAAGAUCAAGAAAUUUGCAUUAGACUUAAGUUAGCUUUACGUUUGAAAACGCAGUCUGUUAACAACCAUCAUCGGGAUAUCAUGUAAUAUUACCAGAUAUCACAGCGUCCUGUCCGGUAAACAAAUGUCCAACAAAAAAAAACUUGAUUUUAAUAGUUUAUUUUCAUCGAAGAAUAGCGGUAAAAUAAGUCAUUAUUUAUAAUGCGGGCUUCUAUUCAACUCAUAGAGUUUUUAUCUUAGAAAUUUCACUUUUAGGAAUAAGCACUUUUUUAUUAUUACAGUUCGGAUUCACUGGUUGGGUCACGACUGCGCCCCAAGUAGCGAAUCGUGUUCGUUCGUUGGGGCAACUGACAACUGAUCAAAAUGCUCUCGACACACGCAAGUGACGAGAAAUACGUCAGGAAACACUCACAUACUUACGCAAACGUUCUGCAUACACGAGCUGUGAUGUGAUGGUGAUCAGACGUCAAACUCGUUUUGACAUCUAUUUUGACAUUGACAGUGCUUUUUAGUUGGGUUUUGCCCCAACCAGUAAACAUACAACCAUCGAGAUAGCCCAUCUAACGAGCUGUCAACGAACGAAUCGUCACUGUAUUAUAUUUUAUUAGGAACGCUUUACCAGAUGACCAAAAUACAAGCUCUCCGAUUUUUGUUCCUUGAUGGCUCAAAUGUGGAUUUCGAAUAAAUAUUUAUUUUGAUGGGCAUUUACUGAUUUUUUGAGCUUUUUACCUCAAGGUCGCUUCUUCGCUUCUGAAAAUGCAUAUGAAUUUACAUAAAAAAAAUCCCAAAAAAUUGGGAUAUUGUGGUAACAUGAGUUUGUUAACGAUCCAUGAGGCCUAUGAAACCACUUUCAAUCGAUUCUCCGUACAUUUUUACAUUGUAAAAGUAUGACUUCGUAAGUCGCUUUCAUGGUUUUCAAAAGAUACAGAAUUCUUUAGCACAAAACAUUAUAUUUUUGGGGACAUCAAGGCAAAAUUGCCAAGAUACAAGUUUGUUUGAACUUUCUAACUUCAUUUAUUAGAUGGCUCAAAUGUAUUUUUCGAAUAAAAACUCAUUUGGAUGGGUGUUUGUUGAUAUUCUCCCUAGAUAAAUGGCAUGUCUAACCAGAAAUGCGAUAAUAUGGGAUAAUAUGGUGAAACGGACAUGACAAUUCAUGCGAUCAAGUUUGACAUUUUCAUUUGUAUCGGCAGUUUAUAUGAGCUUGAUGGGUUGAGUUAUCGCUUCUGAAAAUACAUAUGAAUUUCUAUCGAAAUCCCUAGAAAUUGGAAAAUUGGGGUAAAAUGAGUAUGUUAACGAUCCGUGCGACAUAUUAAACUGGUUUCAUUGGAUUCCCCGCACAUUUUUACAUUAGAAAAGUAUGACUUCGAAAACCGCAUUUGUGGUUUUCACAAGUUAUAGGAUUCUUUGACUGUUUUGUACCUUAUUCUCCCACUGUGGCGCUGUCUUAUGGAGGUUACUGACAAAUAUUAAAAAUACUUCACAUAACAUAUGAAAAAAUAGUCUGAUAGAGAUGAUGGGACGUCUAAACAAGCAUUGGUUAACGUCAAACGGAUAGAAAUAAGAUUUGAAAUUAAUAGUUAUUUAUGUAACGAGUUGCAAAAAGUUGAUUUUUCCAGCACGAGUCGUACAUUUAUCCAACGAGGCUUGCCGAGUUGAAUAAUUACGAAGAGUGCUGAAAAAAUCGAGUUUUGCAACGAGUUCCAUACAAAAUUUUAUGCGAUGAUUUUUUCAUUAUACAACUCAUUUGAAUUGCAUAAUGUUCAUAAUGCAACUCAAAUGGGUCACAUAAUGAACAUUAUACAACUAUUUUUCAUUAUGCAACCCAUUUCAGUUGCAUAAUGAACCGGUACGGAAAAGUAGGCCAUUAUGAUACUGAGAUGAAUAGUAUAAAAUAGAAAUUAUGAUACUGAAUUGCAUAAAACAUAUUUUCGCAUUAUUUUCUGCCUUACCCUGUAAAUUCACUCUUAUUUACCUUCUAUUUCUACCACAAUGUUUCACCACCAAAAAUGAUCUCAUCCGAAUGUAAAUAUAAAAUUAAUUCUAAAUUUUAUUAAGAAAAAUGUUGCCGAAGAUAUCAAGGUGUUUUUUAUCCGUUUUAAAGUUAUUCACGAUUUUCUGGGAGAAGGAAUUUGGAUUUUUAGGUAUUUUUCUAAAAUUAUCGCAUACGGACUGACCAAAAACAAAUACAAAGUGUAAAACCACCUAUGGUCAACCGGUUUUUGACUUGUGUUUAGUGACGGUUUCGUUGCCAAAUCCUUUUUUAUAUAGAAAAGAACUAGCGAGAAGCAAUUAUGAGAUGGGCAUUUUUUUAUUACCUAACAGGUUUGGGCCGAAGGGUCUCCGAUUUCAAUGAAAAUUUCACCAGAGCUAGAGGUCGUGGAUAUAUGAUCAUAUAUGGAAUUCAAAAAAAUCAUAGUGAACAAUUUUCCCGAAAAUGCUAGAUGAAAUUUCGCGAUUUUCCAAAAUUUUCUAAAAUACCCCAAACUCAAAAAAACAUAUCUCAGAAACUAUGCAUUGUAGAACAAACUUUUUUAGUGAAAUCGACGCCAAAUUACCUCAGCAUACCAAUAAAAAUACAUUGAGAAAAAAGUUUCUCAGAAAAUGUUUCACUAUAGAGAAAAAAAACGUCUAAAAAUGCUGAUAAAAGUACCGUCUGUAUCAUAGAUUAUUUUAAACAAAAUUUUUCCUAGCGCAAAAACUAAUGUUCUUCCUUUCAUUUUUUGACGCCAAAAUGGAAUCUCUUACCGUUUAUAGCCAAAAAACCAACGACUAGUCGUUAUAUUUUCAUAGGAAGCCAUCUACAACAGCGGCCGUUCACCUGUUGCAACACAUUUGUUUUUCAACGAGCAAAUGACAUACGCUAAUUGCAACGUAACUUUGACACUAACGUGAAUCGGAGUGCACUGACAGAACAUAUAUGGCACUUGAGUGCCCAUUAAAUGCAACAACUUAUCAAAUUUUGAAAUUAAUGGAUUUAUAACAAGAAAACGUUGCAAAUAACAUGUUUACAACGAGCAAACACAUAUUUCAACGUAUUUUUUUUUUCAAUCAAAGCAAUCAUACACAGCAAAAAUUUCUGAAAAUUACACCCGACGUAAAGAAAUUUGACGUAUAAGUUUCUAUUAUGUCUCAAUGAAUUUUACAAUAAACAAUUUCUUGUAUAGAAUUUUGAACACAAGCUUCAUACUGAGAGCAAGCUGUAAAUUUAAAAAAUGAUGGAAAAAUGUGUGUGAUAUGACGGGGUCCUUUUGUUACAGGUGAUACGAUGUAACAUUUUUUAACUGUGUAUGCAAACCAUUAGAGAUGAGUGGAUAUCAGGUAACUAUAAGGUAUCUUUUAAAUUACACAUGUAAAGCUUUGUUUUGUUUUUAUAGUGUUUUGAUGCUUAAAUGUUCAUUGGUAUGUGGAUUCUUCUAUACACCAUAAAGAGACUAUUUUCCACUAAAUAUUUAGUAAAUAGCAUGGUCUGUGCAUAAUGUGUUUGUAUAAUGUGCUUCAGAAGAAACACUUAUUUAAAAAUUAACAGAACUUUACAUACAUACAUACAAACCAUAGAUGAGAGGAACAAACAUGUACUCUCUGGAGCGGAUCUGGUGUGAUGGUUAAAGCCCGUGACUGUCACGCCGAGGAUCUGGGAUCCCACUACUCACGAAAUGUGAGUUCUUCAUUCGGAAGGGUAGUAAAGUAUGGGUCCCGAGAUGAACUAGCCUAAGGCUAAAAAUCUCGUUAAUACAGAUAAAAAACAUGUACUAAUUAGUACGGGCAACAAAUUAAAACCAAGAGUUUACCAUGCCUACAACUUCUUAACGCGCUGAUAAAUCAUUGUUGCUUGAAACCAAGCUUUUCCUGUUCUAAGAAGCGACACAAUUCCAACAGUGACGAUAAUAAUGUUUAGCAAUGGUUAGCAAAGAUUAAUACCGAGCUCGGUAUAGAGCUACUGAGUUGACAACAGUUGAGGCAGCGCGGUACGCUGGAGGGUCGAUCAUUACCGUUAAAGUAAGUAUUGACAUUAAUUAAUAAAAAAAACACUGAAAUGUAAUAUCAAUUCAUCACUUUUUUUCGAACUAACGGUUUGUUGUCAAAAAGACUUCAUCAGUUUUGAGAACUAUCAUGACAAACCCAUUCUACUACCCAUAAUAUAUUCGAAUCAACCAAUAAAUCGGUGCACGGUUCGAAUGAUUAAAAUUAUUUAAUGCUCUAAGUUGUCAAGUAAAUGUUUAAUUCCAAGAAAUCCUCUAACGUCCUCAUUUUUAUUCACUUCCUGUGCAUUUCUGAAGCUCCAUGGAUCAAAAUUGGAUCCUUAACUAUAUCUUUUGAAAAUUUCUAGAAUGCUUUCUUUAUUUCUGAACGAAGCAAAAGAAUUAUAAUCAAAAAUACUACACAACUAUGCACUUUUGCUACUUACACAGUUAGCCAUACUAAGUUGACCAUGCUAUUUUUUACAGUUACAGAUAAUAUAACGUACGAAUAUUACGCAUUAUAUUCUCAUCUAUUUCAAAUUUAAAUUUAAAAAAAAUCUAUUCAAGUGGAGUGCUCAAUAUUAGCGAAGAAAAUAAAUAAAGCGUUCGUUUUUUAGAUAAACCGAUAAAUUUGAGGAUCAAUUUAAAUUUUGCUGAGCGCAAAUUUUUGAUGUAUGUUAAUGGUUAAAUGAAAAAUAUGAUAGCAUGGCGUUCAUUAUCUAUGUUUUUAUUAUCAACACGACGUCUCCAUUGCCUUUUUCCGGACAGAUCUACAAAGAUAGGUAUAUUCUGUUAUUGAGCACAAAUCCAAGAGAUAUUGGGCUAGUGCGAAUGAAAAGCUCGUUCUUUCUGCGUAAGAAAAUCGACGAGGAAACUAAGAAAACCUCGAAAAUAUAAAACAACAUUUUGCCGAGAUCAUAUUUAAAAAUGCAAUAGGCAGUAGGAUACAAUAUUUGCCAAGAGAUGUAGAUUAUUAUUUAGAUGGAAUUUCAUUUUAACCAUAAUUCCUAAACAUAAUCAAGUCAGGAUUCGUUUCAAGAGUGUAUGAAUGUGCCGUCUAUUUCGCGUUUUCACGUAGAGCGAUCAAUAGCGCUACGCCUUUCGGCAGUUUUCCACUGUAAAGUUUUUGUAAUCAUUUUUCGGGUGUGACUAUUAAGGAAAAGGUAUUUGGAGUACAUAGCUCAAAAUUUCUAGAACACCGUUUUUCGGAACCGUUGAACGGAUUUGGAUGAAAAUGCAUCACGCUAAUUGUUCAGUAGUUGUCAACAACAGUGCUGUAAAUUUUCGACAGGCCUUUAUGAUAGCGAAAUUUUGCUUUUUUCAUUUUCUCCAUUUUGGUUUUCUUGUCAUUGUUGCUUUCCGAUCAGCAACACGGGAGCAAAAUGAAAUACAGGGGAUGGCCAAAAUGUUUGGGAUAGGCAACUGUUUUUCUCUCACAAAAAAUAAUCAACAUACUGUAACUUUCCAUAGAGUGCAUCAAAAAAUCUCAAAUUUUGACUGUUUAUCAACCUGUUAUAUGUGCAUCAUUGGUACAAAUUUGGGCUCGAUUGAAUAGUUUUUCACGAAGUUAGAACCGUUCGGGUAAAACACAAUUUUUUAGACAACUCAUUUUUGAGCUGUCAUAUCUCGGAAACCAGAGAACUAAAUUGAAUGAUUUUUUUAACGUUUAUCAACAAUAUAUUGAUACUUAAUACAACGUUAUAAAAUGUAUUAUUUUUUCCCGGUAAAUUAAGUUAUACCGGGUUGAAAUUUUUACCCAUAUAGAGGAAAAUUAGUCAAAUUUACAAUACCACACUAAAAUUACUAAAUGUGUUCUUCCUUCAAGCUAAAUUGGCUCUAAUAUAUCUGAAUAAAGAUAACUUGAGAACAGAAGUGGAAAAUCUUUGGGUAUCUACACUAAAAUUUAUUGACAUUCACGUGAAAAAAAUUCCUUUUUUCGAGAAAAAUCCAAAAAGUGUCUAUCUAUGAUAACUUUUUUCAACGUUCAAAAAGUAUCUAUGUUUUAAUAGUUUGUGAAGCAUUUGUAUAUUGUUAGUGUACGUUCAAAAUUUCAUGCAAUUCGGUUCACUGGUUUCCGAGAUAUGACAGCUCAAAAAUGAGUUGUCUAAAAAAUAGUGUUUUACCCGAACGGUUCUAACUUUGCGAAAGAUUAAUCAAUCGAGCCCAAAUUUGUACCAAUGAUGCACAUAUACUAGGGUGACAAACAGUCAAAAUUUGAGAUUUUUUGAUGCACUCUAUGAAAAGUUAUAGCAUGUUGAACUUUUUUGUGAGAGAAAAAAAGGUGCCUAUCCCAAACAUUUUGGCCAUCCCCUGUAGGUAGGUACUCACAGUCGCACGCAGCGUGCUGAAAGCGAGAGCUGACAGGGCAAAAUUUCCAUUCAAUUUUCUGUAGUUGAGUGUUUUCACCCGUGGUAGCGUAUAGGGCACUCACUCUCACAAGCCACCGCUUGAGACGAAUGGCCUGUCAGGGGUUCAUUCGAAUAUUACGUAACGUCAAGGGGGGGGGGGGGGGGAGGGAGUCUAGCACUGUGUUACGCUUCAUACAAAAUUUAAAAAUUCCCCAUACAAAAGUUGUUACGUGGGGGAGGGGGCUCAAAAUUGUAUAAUUUUGCGUUACGUAAUAUUUGAAUGAAUCCCAGCAUGAGUAGUACACCCUAAAACAAAAGUACACAGCGAAUGAGUAACUUGCGAAAAGACAAAGGAUUUUUCACUCAUAUUUGCGUGCGACUGGAUCAGCACAAAAAAUGUGCUGAUCCGGGUUUACACAAAUUUGCGUGAAUUUUCACACAAGUUUGCAUGAAACCUUUUGUCUUUUCAAUCGCUGCGUGAAAGUUACUCCUUGCUCUGUGUACAUCGAUCUUUCCGUGUACGUGGAUGAUUGGGAAUUAAUCUUGUUUGGCCGCUCACAAAUAGAGCUCUCGAACUGUGUCAGUUCUCACAUCAAGGAACUGAAAACGACCGCCGCACUCAUUCAUUUUUGGCUGAAAAUCAGGCACUGACAGUGAUAUUUUGCAGGCCUGCCCAACGACCCUUAAAAAUCCCUCAAUAUCUCCUUGAAGUCCCUAAUAUUCUUUAAAAAUCCCCAACUUCUCCUAGAUUGUCCAACUUGUUCGAUAGAUUCCCCAAAGGCAUCAUUUUCCGAAAAGACCUCCAUGAUUCCUAUGUUCCCUUUAUUCUCCCCAAUAUCUCCUAAAAUCCCCAAUAUCUCCUAAAAGUCCCCAAUGUUCAUUAAAAUCCCCAACUUCUCCUAAAAUGUCCAACUUGUUCGUUAGAUUCCCCAAAAGGUAUCAUCUUCCAAGAAGAACUCCAUGAUUCCUAUGUUCCCUUUAUUCUCCCCAAUAUCUCCUAAAAUCCCCAAUAUCUCCUAAAAGUCCCCAAUGUUCAUUAAAAUCCCCAACUUCUCCUAAAAUGUCCAACUUGUUCGUCAGAUUCCCCAAAGGUAUAAUUUUCCAAGAAGAACUCCAUGAUUCCUAUGUUCCCUUUGUUCUCCCCAAUAUCUCCUAAAAGUCCCCAAUCUUCUUUAAAAAUCCCCAACUUCUCAUAAAAUGUCCAACUUGUUCGUUAGAUUCGCCAAAGGCAGCAUUUCCCAGAAGCAGAAGACCCCCAUAAUUCCUAAGUUCUCUUAACCCUCCCCAAUAUCUCCAAAAAAUACCCAACGUUCCUAAAAAUCCCCAAUAUCUUCCUAAAGUUUUUUAUAAAUCCCCAACUUCUCGUAAAAUGUCCAACUUGUUCGUCAGAUUCCCCAAAGGCAUCAUUUCACAAGGAGACCCCCAUGAUUUCUAGACCAACAUGUGAAAAGGGCGGAUGUCCAAAAUGUUAGAAUCGAGAAAAACGCUUGCAAAGUUUCACAAUCUAAAACUAAUUCCUAUUUAACACUUUGUGCGUGUGCACCAAGGAUCGGUAUAUUCGCCUCACUCCAUUCAUAUUCACUCCUCUUUGCUGAAGCGAAUCAAGGAAGAGGCAGCAAACGGAUCGUCGUGAUCAAACACGCAACCCCAUCACCAGUGGGAAGCGAUGAGCUAGCUGCUUGACAUGAAUAUUCGUUGCCAUUCGUCGCAGUUUGGAUCGCAAGCGAAUGAAUGAAUGGCGAAUGGUGAAGAAUGCUGGUGAGCGAUCGAAGCGGCUAUUAUCAUAAGUAGAAGAGAAUUUCUGCAUGUAAUGCAUAUAUUUUUACUGUAUUGUUGUUGAAAUGCUAGAUUAGCAAAGAAAAUAACUUGAAAACAUCAAAAAUUCGUAUGCACAAUAUCAAUCGCAUCACUCACGAAUCGCAUUCGCUUGCGAUGCGAAUAUGAACGAAUGAGUAAUUUCCAAGUGUGGCUUCCCACCGUUCGCCGGAGUUUGCUGUCGUCGCUGACAAGCAUACACACGAACUAAAGCGACAACCGUUCGCUGCUGACUGUCUUCGAAUGUGGAAGAAGAUGAAAAGUGGAAAUCAGGAACCCUGGCACUCAAUCUUUUUCGUUGUUUUAGAAGAAAACACUAUCCUCUUGGUGAUGUUAUGUCAAAAAGUACAAACAAGCGUUUUUCCUUGAAGAAAAUGAAUGAAAUAAAAAUUACGCCUAAAUAAAAACUCAUUGGUCAUUACGCCCGACAUGCUACGCCGCUUGGUCGCCAGCACUGGAAUUACGCUUGGUCAAUAUUAGUGGAAUGCAAUAGAUUGUGAACCUAACCCACUGCAAUAAAUUGAUUUUGAAGCUUUCUUAACUAAAAGUAACUAAAUGAAGUUUAUCUGAUAUUGUACAAUGGAAGAGGAGGAAAAUUUUCUCUUGACGUUGCCUACGAUGAGUGGUAAAAAACAAUGAGUAAAAUGCAAUGGAAAUCAGAUUUCGGUUGCUCUUGGUUGGUUAUUCUAGCUCUUAUCUAUGAACAACAACUCUUUACAGUUUAUCUAAUAUCGUACAACAAAGGUGGGAGUUGUCCCUGCCAUUGCCCAAAAUGCGCGUUUGAAAAAAAAUAUAACUACAGUACCGAUGGGGAAGUGCAGGCAGCAUAUUAUGUUCCCAACAAGCCCGUGCACAAGAGAGGCGUUUUAGGGGGUUAAACUCCUCCCAUUGCCGAUACUCUACACCCAAGGCCUCCUCCACCCUUUGCAAAAAUUGGGUAAAACCCCUCCCUUGUCGCCUUUUCUGUGCACGGGCCUGGUCCCCAAUAUCACCUUUUGCUGAAUCUACCUGCUGUAACCUAUGCCGGUCAAUUGAUUUGAGACCAUUCGUCAAAAUUUUUAUCACUGAAGCUUUACCAGCUGCAUAUCAUCCAACUGUGGGUCCUUUGGAGAAAAUAUAUCCUGAAUAUACAUUGAAGCCAUGUUAUCGCCACUUCUUGCAGUUAGUCAGCGACUUUAUUGAAUUUUACGAUGAAAAACGCCCGAUUUGAUCUUGGGCGUAAGAACCAUCCGUGCGCAACAAGAGCAAUAAGUGCACGGCGGAUUUCCACUCAGACAUUUUGAUGGGCGCCGAAGCACGACGUAAUGACGAAGGCUUUUCAAUAACGGUGUAAGUAGUUUGGGGCGACUUUAAUCAAAAGUGGGAGUAAAAGUUUUGUGUAAAUUUGAUAAAUAUGAAUGGCGAGAUGGUGUUCUCGACUGUUUAUUCAACAGUGUUAACAAUUUUGUGCAUUUUUGUGCUUUUUUUCAAAGGCGCAAGAUCAUUGGCGGAACAACCAAAUGAAGUGAUCAUAAUCAUAUGUGGAAAUCCGCCUUUAUUUAAAUUAUUGUUUUCCAGAAGUGGAAACUUAUUUUUGAGCUAACGUCAGGAAAAAUCAUAUGUCUAUGAAUUGUUUCAUCAAAUUAUGCUGAAAAGUGAAUUGUUUACAUUUUGACUCUUCCGCCCUUUUCAAAUGUUGGUCUAGAUUUGAUCCAUAGGAAUUUAUUGCUGUAUGUUUUACAACUGAGCUGAGAAACAGGCUCUGUCUCAGUUGGGAUGUUAUGCCAGAAAUAUGAAGAAUCAUUAUCAUUACCCAUCAUACAUGUAGUGAAUUUGGAAAUGCAUCAAAUAAGUGCAUGCUCUAAAUUACCGCACGCACAGAACCCCCCCAUCUGAACAGCACCGCAGCAGACACGCAAAAAAGCCUACGCUUAAAAAUGAGUUCGGCCUGCACAUUUUUAGUACCUAAACAUCCAUGCCGCACAAUGACUGUGUUGGAAACACACAUUUGUAUAAAUUGCUCGUACGCUCACAUGAGCAUGUAUUUUGCAAUAAUUUCGACAUGGUAACCUUAUAAACCACCUUCAAAUACCGAAAAAUAUUGAUAUUUUGCAAAAAUGUGAGCGUACGAGCAAUUUUAAAAAAUGUGUGUUUCCAACACAAUCCAUGGGUGUUAACCAAAUAUGAGAGUUUUUAUUUUAGAGAGGAGCUACGAGUGCGAAGGAUUUAAAUGGUUGCUUUUGUAAAUAUACUUUCGUCGGCGGUUUCGCUCCGUCGAAAAACAAGUUAACUACACGUCGCACUUAGUAUGCGCACGCGUCUUUUGAAAUUCAAACUCCGCCUCGAAUGAUUCCGCAGGCGGAGAUGUGACGCGACAAAGAGCGAUCUCGUUUUCUGUACGCGAUGACAUCACCAGCAGCCAAGCCAGCAGCUGUAGUCGUCCUCAUGCCAGAGCGAUGACCAUUGUUUUGGCAUGAAGUUAAUGCAAUUUGGAACGUUAUUUUCAAAAUCAUUUUUUGACUUAACUACAACAGAUAGAGUUUUGGUGACAAAGAAACAUUUUUGGGGAACAAGUUCGUGCAUGUUUUGUAGAAGAACUUUUUUAACAAUAGCUUUAUUUUCAUAUUUAAAUCAUCAAAAAUGUCCGAAAAAGAGUGAUUUUUUUCAAUUUAAGGCCUUUUAAACUAUUUUUACAAAGUUUAUGUCCAAGAGACUAAGAAAGCUGAAGUUAUUAGCUUUCAAUUCGUGCGCUGAGAAAGUUUGUACGAUUGAUAGUUUAGUAGAUACAGGACUUCAAAGAUAAGCAAAAUUUAAAAACUUAAAAUGUGAUUAACUCACUUAGCAGUGACCCUAUGUUCCAUGGGAACUUUUUCAUCUCUCAUCAAGACCUAUCGGCCCUGAAAAUAUCCAAAACCCGGAACCAAACACCCUGUAUAUGACUUGUAAGCGUAUGCAAACAGCGACGACUUUUUGACUUGCUCUAUACACAACAAACUUAAUCCAAAACAAAACAAAGCAACGAUUUAUAUACAUACAAUGGGACUUGACAUUUUUUAUCACAAGAUUCAACAGAUUUUACGAUUUUGAUUGCUGACAGCGAGACAUACAACUUUGAAUGCACUUUCCAUUACGAUUUGAGGUUUACUGGGUAAGAGUGUAUUGGUGCGAGUAUGAAGAUUUACACACAUAUCACCUUAACCCGUGGUGGCGCUGCUAACAGUGACUUUGAUUUUGAGCAGUGCUGUAAGUCUUCUUGAUAAAGUAGUCUUCGGCAUUAUACAGGGUGCUAGUGAGAUGCCAAACGAUGUUUUUGAAACAAAUUUUCUUCUAAGAUAUAUGUCUGUUUGUCUGUGAUUCUAUCAGAAGCUUAACGCAUUCCGCAACUGCUUCGUGCCGCGAGGAAUAAAGAUGGGGGUCUUUUGGCGGACUGGCGUGAGGUGAUUGAAAUGUGGAAGCAGCACUUCGAUGAGCAUCUGAACGGCGUGGAGAAUGUAAUCACGGGAUACCAAUUCAACGAAUGGAACAACUACGCCAAAGCAGUUGAAGACGAAAAUUAUCCUACUCCCACGCUGAGGGAAGUUAACCAUCCAUUUAGGAGGUAUUUAUAAACCACGUAGACUAAAAUUUGAUCAUUUCAAACAUGUUUUGAAACAACUACUUGUUUGCAGUUUUGCUACAGGGUAUAUUCCCAAAUCCUGGCGGGAUAUUACUGUGAAGUUUAUUCCGAAAGUAGGUCGUGCGUCGUAUGAAGAAGCAAAGAGCUUCACACGGACAGAAAUGUGUUCUGAUUCAUAUAACUUUUUCCAUAGUUCUCUCAAGCUUCGGAGAUAUUUUUGGCAUAAUUGCUUAAAAUGGUUGAUUCACAAUGAUUUGAUGUCUGCAUCAAGCAUACACACUAAGUUUUUUUCGCCGAAUCUCGGCAAACCGAUUGCCGAGAUUGGCACCGCCGAGUGCUCGGCAACCACCUCAGCAAAAAAUAGAUUUGCCGGGAACUCGGCAAUCACAAUAAUGACAGCUAUCAAUAUUUUGCCGAGAUUCUCAGCAAAUAUAUUUGCUGAGUGCUCGGCAAAAUCAUUUCUAAGUACGAAUGGAUUUGCUGAAUCUCGGCAUUUUGUAUUGUUUAUGUUUUGCAGAAUGGAAGAAAAAAAGUUAAAAAGAAUAUUUUGCGCUCGCACGGGAACAGAAUGGAAAGGUUUUAUUCGUAUAUAUUUUUCAAUUUUUUCAAAGAAAUGUCGUACAGAAUAAUCAGUUUGUUGCUUCAAAUGUUCAUUCCGUUUCACAAGCAAACACAUUGAAUCAAUAAUUUAUCGGCUUCCCCAACGCGAACACCUCCCUGAAGUACAGCGUCAAAUGGCGUCAAACUGGCAUUCUGUAAUCGAUUAAAUAUGUAAAUUAUCAGUAAUAAGUACUUACAAAAAGAUAUCACAUUCUUACAAAUUUACACACACUUCGUUUGAAAAAUCACUUGAUUUGAAAUAUAUGAUGUAGAUUCAGCACUUUCAGCACCAGCACCUGUUGUGUUUUUUUUUUUUGGCAGACAUGGUAGCUGCAAAACUGACAGUUGUAUUGCCGAAAUUCGGUAAUCUCGUUUGCUGAUUUCAGUAAAAUUUAUGUUUACCGAUGGGCUCAGCAAACAAUGCUGUCAGUUUUCCAAGUUCUUAAACAAUUUGCUGAUAUUUCGGUAAAGCAUUUUGGACAAUCUCGGCGAAAACGUGUUGUUUGCUGAAAUAUCAGCAAAAUAUCGAGUUGCCGUUUGAAAUCAGCAAAUUUGUUUGCCGAGCUCGAGAAUCAGUUUUAAGUGUGUAUGUUUCGGUCAAAACAACAUCAUUGAACAUCAACCAUCAAAUGCUUAAACCAAGCAUAUAUGUCAUUACACUAACUUCUUGCUUGCCGAGACCUAGGCCGAGCUGCUGUCUACUCAGUUAUUGUUCAUGAUGGCGGUGGUGGUGUUAUAUUAUAUUGUGGAUCCUUUUUUCCUGGGGGAAUGAAAAGUGUGCGUCUGGUAAUAAUCAAUCUUUAUGGAUUUCGCCGCUUCGGCUUCAGGUGCAGCUCAAAAUAGUACAUCACCAAACCCGAAAUGCAGCAGCCGCAGCACAAAAACCGGAGCAAGAACAAACCACCGGACGGAAUCAUCGCAAGCCUGUUAAGACCGCUCGGUUCGGAUAAGGGUACCCAGCCUCCUCAGAAUCAUUCUGAGUUAUCCAAUCUACAAAAGCCGGAGAGAAAAAAUUAUUCUUCCUGGACGGUUUCCGUUGGAUGGUGCAACCCUAGAAUCUAGAUCAACCCCAAGAAGAUGACCUGCUGAAGAUGCGCUGCAGUGAUGGAGUCCGGAAUCAACAACUUCUGCUAGUGCGCCAUACUCUCGGUUUGGCCGGCGACCGAUCGUAUCACGAAGUAAUUUUCUUGAAUCAUAAAUUAUUUGAACAGACUACCUAUGUAUUAAGUAAAAUAAAGGACUUUUCUUUGAUAAUUGAACAUUCCUGAAAUGGUGGUAGUUAGUGUAUUAUGUGACAAUUAUAACAUAUUGCACUAAAAUACGACCAUUAUAGAAAUGUUCAUCCAAAAUGUAAAGCUUUCGAUUUU
Molecule: long non-coding RNA, 14828 nt
Organism: Aedes albopictus (Asian tiger mosquito)
Lineage: Eukaryota; Metazoa; Arthropoda; Insecta; Diptera; Culicidae
Exons: 2
Source: RefSeq, a predicted model, not a curated record